Molecule: transfer RNA, 70 nt
Filed under: Loxodonta africana (African savanna elephant)
Lineage: Eukaryota; Metazoa; Chordata; Mammalia; Proboscidea; Elephantidae
Rfam family: tRNA
About the family: Transfer RNA (tRNA) molecules are approximately 80 nucleotides in length. Their secondary structure includes four short double-helical elements and three loops (D, anti-codon, and T loops).
Source: Rfam by way of RNAcentral
CCCUGGGUGGUGCAAACAGCAUACUCAGCUGCUAACUGAAAGGCUGCUGGUUCAAGUCCACCCCGAGGUG